This 253-nucleotide ribosomal RNA is filed under the name uncultured bacterium. RNAcentral's name for it is "partial 16S ribosomal RNA". It matches the Rfam family "Bacterial small subunit ribosomal RNA", at positions 524 to 776 of the family's 1533-position model. The record is from RNAcentral.
UACGUAGGGUGCAAGCGUUGCCCGGAAUUAUUGGGCGUAAAGAGCUCGUAGGCGGCUUGUCGCGUCGGCUGUGAAAACCUGGGGCUCAACCCCGGGCCUGCAGCCGAUACGGGCAAGCUAGAAUUCGGUAGGGGAGACUGGAAUUCCUGGUGUAGCGGUGAAAUGCGCAGAUAUCAGGAGGAACACCGGUGGCGAAGGCGGGUCUCUGGGCCGAAAUUGACGCUGAGGAGCGAAAGCGUGGGGAGCGAACAGG